This is a long non-coding RNA of Sorghum bicolor (sorghum), 2925 nucleotides long. RefSeq lists it as uncharacterized. The transcript is spliced from 2 exons. The record is from RefSeq and is a predicted model, not a curated record. NCBI's taxonomy places the organism in Eukaryota, Viridiplantae, Streptophyta, Magnoliopsida, Poales, Poaceae.
ACCCCCAUCCCUCACGCCUACGCCCCGCUCUUCGUCCUUGCGAAAAAGGAAGGGAAAGAAACCUGCCUCCUCUAAUCCCGCAGAUCCGAAACCCUCGCACCCCUCACUUGCGAAAAGAAACUGGGAGCGGCCCCCAUCAUCGACCUCACCGGCAUCUGCGAGCGCGCCGCCACCGCGCGCGACUGCCCUGUGCACCACUUGCCCACGCACGCCCCGAGGCCACCUUCCCGGCAGCAUAGCUGGCGUGGCAUCCCAUCGGCGGAGGUCACGCGGCGUCCUGGCGGCGCAGCAUCUCGGCGGCCCCCUGCGCUAAUGUCGAGCCUCGCCGCCAUCUCUACGGCCCCAUGCUGGCGCGCCCCCAUCUCCGUCGCCCUGGUUCUAGCCGGCGUUGCGGUGGUCAUAUGACCAAUUAGUGCAGCAAUGUGCAAGUGGCAUGUACAGGGGCCAUGCCAUCUGUGAAAACGUCUAUGAUGGGGAAGCCGUCGCCUGCCAUGAAGGGCGAGGAGUGCCGGCGACACCAUCAGGUACCGAAUCAAGCAGCAGGCACACCUCAUCGUCGUGAAUCCCCUUCCUGAUGCCCCCUUGAAUCCAAGGUCAAUAAACAAAUCGAGAGCACCUGAAUCUGGUGGUGUUGUAGAGGUACUGAUUUGAACACUAGCAUAAACAAUCUUCGAUCUGCGUGAUGAGAAAUUCCCGGUUUUCUUACCCCCUAGAUUUCUGCAAGGGCUCGUUAAAAAAAAAUACUGUAGGCUGUUUUCCUUUGGCACACGCCAGCACUACGUAGAAGCCAUCAGAUGGAUUGCUCUUGAUAAAAAGUUAUCUGAAAUAAUCUAGAAUUUUUACCAAAUUGUUUUAGUACUUGCAAAUCUUUGCCAAAUUGAAAUGCCAUGUGAAUUGAAGAAUGAGUUGCAGGCAGACUAUUUUUGUGUUAUGCAAAAAGGAGUAACCUGUUGAAUAAUAGCUUUACAAUAACUAAUAAUUAUUUUUAAUUUGUUCUCGAAUGGCUUCAAUGUCUCAAAUGCUGGGCGUGUUGGUUUUUUAAUUCCUUUUCAGUAUGUUGCAGAAUUUCUCACCUCUACUUGGAAUUGGAACCAACCAGUUACUGCACUUUAAUGAGUAUUGGGUAAAAUUAGAGCGAAGUCUGGGCAAUGACCUUGCUUCAACUCGUGGAGUUUGACAUGACUCUAUCGAGAAAAGGUUUAGCUUUUGCUCUGUGAAAAUAAAUAUAACUUCGUAUUCCCUAGCUACCCGCUGCCUUAAAAUAUAUUAUUAUUCUUCCGGUGGGUUUAAUUUGUUUUAGAAGUUUGAUUGACGUACAUUUCAGUGGAGACGAAAUAGGGCAUAAAUAUAAGGAAAGAUCACUUUAUAAGUGCUGUUAUAACAAAUGAUUUGUUGGGUCUAGAUAAGAGGCAAGCUUUUCUCAAUCAAGCAUUGGAACCCCUCUUCCUGCUAUCGUAACCUGAAAACUUGCUAAUGGUACUCUUGUUGGUGCUUACGAACCAGUCUUAAACAGUAGUUGAGAUUUAUGUGAAUACUAUCAAUGUUUAUCUUUUGACAUGACAAAUCUCAUGAAUAUUGACAAGCAUGCCUACCUCACCUUGAAUACACAGCUUGUGCCACGCUUGAAGCAGCCUCUUGCUCUCACCUCGAUUCACCUCCCAUAGUUCCAUGAUUUUAGCAUCAUGCAGUCUCAGGAAAGUUAGAGAGCAGGCAUAUUUUUUUGUGCCUACCUCACCUCGAUUGAUGUUUGACCUAUCCCCUUCAAGAAAAAUGAUGUCCGGCCAUCUAUGUUAAUACUUGAAUUUUUGAGACAUUGCAAAUUUUCCAAGUGGUGAGAGCAAGGGUGCUGAUUUUGAACUCAAAUUCUUCUGUCUGCUCUUUGUAUUCAGAUUGAGGAUGUAAAUUUAUUUUUUGAUUGAGGUCAAAUACAUGCCUGAUGAAAGCGAAUAAUGCUUAUACUGUCCCAAGUUUUGGAACAAAUAGUUUAGUGGAAAAUUAUUUGAGUAGUUUACCUUCAAUCUAUGCAGUUUGGUAACAAAUUACUAUAUUUGACUCAUUGAGAAGGAGCAAAGAGGAAGAAAACAUAGGUGGUGUGCUCUAAUUGGUUGAGAGAAAAAGAGAGGACGACUGUAUGAAGCUCUGGUUCGUCCAAGCUGCAUGUCUCAUGGAUGUUCAGUGAAAUGGCAUGCCCGUGAUAUUUGUGCCACAUGGAUGGAACAUGAAAGUGUUUACUACAAUAGACACAAUCUUAGAUGAGUUCGUCAAUCUUCAGUUCAGGUUAUUUCUUCCAUGAGAAUGGACCAUUCAUUUUUUUAUGAUGAUCACCAAAUUGUAUCUUUCAUUUUCAGAAGUUAUUGUUUUCAUAUUAGUUACAUUCCAUGUUGUCUUUAAUAUUGUGGUUUGUGCAAAUUAGCUAUCAAGCCGGACCAUAUCCAUCGCAGUUAUGUUUCCAAAUGAUGUUAAGAAGGCAAUGAUCUAUGAUGUCGGCCAGCUUGCUCCUCCAUUGUGUGCAGAAAAAGCUUUGCUCAAAUGGGGCUCAAGUGAGAGACAAUAUUUUUACUCAUAUUUGAUUUACAAGGCAAGAAGUGGUUGUAGUUUGUUGCCACUGGAUCGCUCAGAGUAUAUUCCAUUAGAAGUAAAGGUUAUAGUAAUAAAACAAAACUAUAAAUGGGAGUUGUUCGUCUGUCUCGUGCCUCAUUUUGAUCUCAGAUAUAUACUUGUCUGUUAGUAGCAGUUAUAUGAUUUUACUUUAGCUCUGGUGCAAGAAGGAUUUAAGUAUCACCAGUCAACAGAGUUGUAUAUUAUAUUAAUGUAUUGGAUCCCUAAAGAGUCCUAUUUGUCGGUUCCAAGUGUUUAUCACCUUGAAGUUGGACACUUUGUGAUCAAUGGUCAUAUAUAUAUCACUCAUUUGUCUGUGAAUUUUCA